This 466-nucleotide ribosomal RNA is filed under the name uncultured bacterium. Its description in RNAcentral is "bacterial SSU rRNA". It matches the Rfam family "Bacterial small subunit ribosomal RNA", at positions 30 to 524 of the family's 1533-position model. The record is from RNAcentral.
CCUGAACGCUGGCGGCGUGGCUAAGACAUGCAAGUCGCACGGUGUAGCAAUACACAGUGGCGAACGGGUGAGUAAUGAAUCGCUAACGUGCCCCGGACUCUGGGAUAGCUAUCCGAAAGGGUAGGUAAUACCAGAUGACAUAUCCUGCUCGCAUGAGUGGGAUCUCAAAGGUCCGCCGGUCUGGGAGCGGGCGAUUUCGUAUCAGCUAGUUGGUGAGGUAACGGCUCACCAAGGCGACGACGCGUAGCCGGACUGAGAGGUUGGCCGGCCACAUUGGGACUGAGACACUGCCCAGACUCCUACGGGGGGCUGCAGUAACGAAUCUUCCGCAAUGCACGAAAGUGUGACGGAGCGACGCCGCGUGUGGGAUGAAGUUCUUCGGAAUGUAAACCACUGUCAGGGGUUAGAAGUUCUGAUCAACCCCAGAGGAAGGCACGGCUAACUCUGUGCCAGCAGCCGCAGUAAC